Molecule: ribosomal RNA, 577 nt
Filed under: Scedosporium boydii
Lineage: Eukaryota; Fungi; Ascomycota; Sordariomycetes; Microascales; Microascaceae
Description: eukaryotic LSU rRNA
Rfam family: 5.8S ribosomal RNA (bases 193-346)
Source: RNAcentral
AGGUGUCGUCGGAGGAUCAUUACAGAGUUACUACUCCAAACCCAUUGGUGAACCUUACCUAUGUUCUGUUGCCUCGGCGGCGUCGGUCAGCGCCCCUCUGAGAAGAGGACGAUGCCCCUCCCGCCGGCAGCACCAAACUCUUGAAUUUUACAGCGGAUUACAGUUCUGAUUUGAAAACAAAAAACAAGUUAAAACUUUCAACAACGGAUCUCUUGGUUCUGGCAUCGAUGAAGAACGCAGCGAAAUGCGAUAAGUAAUGUGAAUUGCAGAAUUCAGUGAAUCAUCGAAUCUUUGAACGCACAUUGCGCCCGGCAGUAAUCUGCCGGGCAUGCCUGUCCGAGCGUCAUUUCAACCCUCGAACCUCCGUUUCCUCAGGGAAGCCCAGGGUCGGUGUUGGGGCGCUACGGCGAGUCCCUCGCGACCCCCGUAGGCCCUGAAAUACAGUGGCGGUCCCGCCGCGGUUGCCUUCUGCGUAGUAAGUCUCUUUUGCAAGCUCGCAUUGGGUCCCGGCGGAGGCCUGCCGUCAAACCACCUAACAACUCCAGAUGGUUUGACCUCGGAUCAGGUAGGGUUACCC